RNAcentral lists this ribosomal RNA (468 nucleotides) under uncultured bacterium. RNAcentral describes it as "partial 16S ribosomal RNA". It matches the Rfam family "Bacterial small subunit ribosomal RNA", at positions 28 to 507 of the family's 1533-position model. The record is from RNAcentral.
GACGAACGCUGGCGGCGUGCUUAACACAUGCAAGUCGAACGGAAAGGCCCUGCCUUUGUGGUGUGCUCGAGUGGCGAACGGGUGAGUAACACGUGGGUAACCUGCCCGUGACUUUGGGCUACCUUCAGGAAACUGGGUCUAAUACCGGAUCGGAGCUCCUGCUGCAUGGUGGGCCUUGGAAAGUUUCGGCGGUUGGGGAUGGACUCGCGGCUUAUCAGCUUGUUGGUGGGGUAGUGGCUUACCAAGGCUGUGACGGGUAGCCGGCCUGAGCGGGUGACCGGCGACAAUGGGACUGAGAGACGGCGCAGACGCCUACGGGAGGCAGCAGUGGAGAAUAUUGCACAAUGGGCGGAAGCCUGAUGCAGCAACGCCGCGUGCGGGAUGACGGCCUUCGGGUUGUAAACCGCUUUCGCCUGUGACGAAGCGUGAGUGACGGUAAUGGGUAAAGAAGCACCGGCUAACUACGUG